RNAcentral lists this ribosomal RNA (301 nucleotides) under uncultured bacterium. RNAcentral's name for it is "bacterial SSU rRNA". It matches the Rfam family "Bacterial small subunit ribosomal RNA", at positions 27 to 358 of the family's 1533-position model. The record is from RNAcentral.
GAACGAACGCUGGUCGCAGGCCUAAACAUGCAAGUCGAGCGCCCCGCAAGGGGAGCGGCCGACGGGUUAGCCCCCUCGUGGGAACGUACCCUUCUGUUCGGAACAACCCAGGGAAACUUGGGCUAAUACCGGAUACAUCCGUCAGGAGAAAGAUUUAUCGCUGAAGGAUCGGCCCGCGUCUGAUUAACUAGUUGGUGGGGUAACGGCCCACCAAGGCGACGAUCAGUAGCUGGUCUGACAGGAUGAUCAACCUCACUGGGACUGACACACAGCCCAGACUCCUACGGGAGGCAGCAAUGGG